This 880-nucleotide long non-coding RNA is filed under the name Mytilus galloprovincialis (Mediterranean mussel). The record is from RNAcentral. Lineage: Eukaryota; Metazoa; Mollusca; Bivalvia; Mytilida; Mytilidae.
UUCUAAAACCUUAUAGUGUUAAGUUUUGAAAGAAAAAAAUAUUUGAUUGGUGGAGGCGGACAAUAAAUGGUCGCGCUCAGACAAGAAAACCAUACCCCCUUUAAAGUUAAAUGAUUAACUUACUUCCUUGUUGAUGGAUUGUUUCCUGGCUUGCUUUGGUAGAGUAUUGUUGCAUGUUUCACAUUCGAGUAAUAUAUAUACGCAUGUGUAGUACAUGAAAUAUGAAGACACCGGUGUACUACUAUAGUACUUGACUUGUAAUAGUGAGCAUGUAUGAGAAAAAUAGAGUGAGCCAAUUGUAAGAUGCUAUAAGAUAGACUAACAAGAAUGUGUCCAUAGUACACGGAUGCCCCACUCGCACUAUCAUUUUACAUGUUCAGUGGACCGUGAAAUUGGGGUCAAUACUUUAAUUUGGCGUUAAAAUUAGAAAGAUCAUAUCAUAGGGAACAUGUGUAAUAAGUUUCAAGUUGAUUGGACUUCAACUUCAUCAAAAACUACCUUGACCAAAAACUUUAACCUGAAGCGGGACGAACGGACGCACAGACGAACGAACGAACGAACGGACGCACAGACCAGAAAAAAUAAUGCCUCUCUACUAUCGUAGGUGGGGCAAUAAAAAUGUAUCGAAAAUAUAGCACAAAAGAAAUCAUGAAAUAACUCAGUGCAAUCCCAAUCUAAGAUGCAAACACAUCAAAAUAAAAACAAAAUCACACCAUAUCUCCACAUGACACAAAACAAAAACCAACUGCAAUCAACAAAUAAGACGCAAAGAGUCACAAGAAAUUAAAAAAAAAAAUCCAUUCGCGGGCAACUACCGACUUAUUAUACUGUAUGAUCGAACACAAACAUAGCCAAAAUAUGACACCAAAGAAAUAAGACG